This 253-nucleotide ribosomal RNA is filed under the name uncultured bacterium. RNAcentral's name for it is "partial 16S ribosomal RNA". It matches the Rfam family "Bacterial small subunit ribosomal RNA", at positions 524 to 776 of the family's 1533-position model. The record is from RNAcentral.
GACGUAGGAUGCAAGCGUUGUCCGGAUUUAUUGGGCGUAAAGAGUUCGUAGGUGGUUCGUUAAGUCUGAUGUUAAAGACUGGGGCUCAACCCUGGAAGUGCAUUGGAUACUGGCGGACUUGAGUGUGGUAGAGGCAAUCGGAAUUCCAGGUGUAGCGGUGAAAUGCGUAGAUAUCGAGAGGAACACCUGCGGCGAAGGCGGGUUGCUGGGCUGAUACUGACGCUGAGGCGCGAAAGCCAGGGGAGCGAACGGG